UACGUAGGUGGCAAGCGUUAUCCGGAAUUACUGGGCGUAAAGCGCACGCAGGCGGUCUUUUAAGUUUGCCGUGAAAGCUCCCGGCUUAACUGGGAGAGGUCGUUGAAUACUGGAAGACUUGAGGAAAUGAGAGGGGUGUAGAAUUCCCGGUGUAGUGGUGGAAUGCGUAGAUAUCGGGGGGAAUACCAGUGGCGAAAGCGGCACCCUAGCAUUUUUCUGACGCUCAUGUGCGAAAGCGUGGGGAGCGAACGGG
This 253-nucleotide ribosomal RNA is filed under the name uncultured bacterium. RNAcentral's name for it is "partial 16S ribosomal RNA". It matches the Rfam family "Bacterial small subunit ribosomal RNA", at positions 524 to 776 of the family's 1533-position model. The record is from RNAcentral.